AUCCUGGCUCAGAUUGAACGCUGGCGGCAUGCUUUACACAUGCAAGUCGAACGGCAGCGCGGGGCAACCUGGCGGCGAGUGGCGAACGGGUGAGUAAUAUAUCGGAACGUACCCAAGAGUGGGGGAUAACGUAGCGAAAGUUACGCUAAUACCGCAUACGAUCCAAGGAUGAAAGCAGGGGAUCUUCGGACCUUGUGCUCCUGGAGCGGCCGAUAUCUGAUUAGCUAGUUGGUGAGGUAAAGGCUCACCAAGGCGACGAUCAGUAGCUGGUCUGAGAGGACGACCAGCCACACUGGGACUGAGACACGGCCCAGACUCCUACGGGAGGCAGCAGUGGGGAAUUUUGGACAAUGGGCGCAAGCCUGAUCCAGCAAUGCCGCGUGAGUGAAGAAGGCCUUCGGGUUGUAAAGCUCUUUUGUCAGGGAAGAAACGGCCGGGGCUAAUAUCCUCGGCUAAUGACGGUACCUGAAGAAUAAGCACCGGCUAACUACGUG
RNAcentral lists this ribosomal RNA (494 nucleotides) under uncultured bacterium. RNAcentral's name for it is "bacterial SSU rRNA". It matches the Rfam family "Bacterial small subunit ribosomal RNA", at positions 16 to 507 of the family's 1533-position model. The record is from RNAcentral.